GAUGAACGCUAGCUACAGGCUUAACACAUGCAAGUCGCAGGGUAACAUGAGGAAAGCUUGCUUUCCUUGAUGACGACUGGCGCACGGGUGAGUAACGCGUAUCCAACCUUCCCAUAACUACGGGAUAACCCGUUGAAAGACGGCCUAAUACCGUAUGAUAUCGUUUGCUGACAUCAAAUAACGAUUAAAGGUUUAGCGGUUAUGGAUGGGGAUGCGUCUGAUUAGCUUGUUGGCGGGGUAACGGCCCACCAAGGCGACGAUCAGUAGGGGUUCUGAGAGGAAGGUCCCCCACAUUGGAACUGAGACACGGUCCAAACUCCUACGGGAGGCAGCAGUGAGGAAUAUUGGUCAAUGGGCGAGAGCCUGAACCAGCCAAGUAGCGUGCAGGACGACGGCCCUAUGGGUGGUAAACUGCUUUUAGGUGGGGAUAAAGUGCGUGACGUGUCAUGCAUUGCAGGUACCACAUGAAUAAGGACCGGCUAAUUCCGUG
This 490-nucleotide ribosomal RNA is filed under the name uncultured bacterium. RNAcentral describes it as "partial 16S ribosomal RNA". It matches the Rfam family "Bacterial small subunit ribosomal RNA", at positions 28 to 507 of the family's 1533-position model. The record is from RNAcentral.